AUUGAACGCUGGCGGCAGGCCAAACACAUGCAAGUCGAACGGUAGCACAGAGAGCUUGCUCUCGGGUGACGAGUGGCGGACGGGUGAGUAACGUCUGGGAAACUGCCCGAUGGAGGGGGAUAACUAAUGGAAACGGUAGCUAAUACCGCAUAACGUCGCAAGACCAAAGUGGGGGACCUUCGGGCCUCACACCAUCCGAUGUGCCCAGAUGGGAUUAGCUAGUAGGUGGGGUAAUGGCUCACCUAGGCGACGAUCCCUAGCUGGUCUGAGAGGAUGACCAGCCACACUGGAACUGAGACACGGUCCAGACUCCUACGGGAGGCAGCAGUGGGGAAUAUUGCACAAUGGGCGCAAGCCUGAUGCAGCCAUGCCGCGUGUAUGAAGAAGGCCUUCGGGUUGUAAAGUACUUUCAGCGGGGAGGAAGGCGGUGAAGUUAAUAACUUCACCGAUUGACGUUACCCGCAGAAGAAGCACCGGCUAACUCCGUGCCAGCCGCCGCCGUAA
RNAcentral lists this ribosomal RNA (504 nucleotides) under uncultured bacterium. RNAcentral's name for it is "partial 16S ribosomal RNA". It matches the Rfam family "Bacterial small subunit ribosomal RNA", at positions 30 to 523 of the family's 1533-position model. The record is from RNAcentral.